This 478-nucleotide ribosomal RNA is filed under the name uncultured bacterium. Its description in RNAcentral is "partial 16S ribosomal RNA". It matches the Rfam family "Bacterial small subunit ribosomal RNA", at positions 28 to 507 of the family's 1533-position model. The record is from RNAcentral.
GACGAACGCUGGCGGCGUGCUUAACACAUGCAAGUCGAACGGGAUUUAGUAAACAGCACCCUCGGUGGAAGAUUACUAAUGAGAGUGGCGAACGGGUGAGUAACGCGUGAGCAACCUGCCUAUGACAGUGGGAUAGCCUCGGGAAACCGGGAUUAAUACCGCAUAAAAUCGUAGAAACACAUGUUUUAACGGUCAAAGAUUUAUCGGUCAUAGAUGGGCUCGCGUCUGAUUAGCUAGUUGGUGAGAUAACAGCCCACCAAGGCGACGAUCAGUAGCCGGUCUGAGAGGAUGAACGGCCACAUUGGAACUGAGACACGGUCCAAACUCCUACGGGAGGCAGCAGUGGGGAAUAUUGCACAAUGGGGGAAACCCUGAUGCAGCGACGCCGCGUGAACGAAGAAGGUAUUCGUAUCGUAAAGUUCUGUCCUAUGGGAAGAUAAUGACAGUACCAUAGAAGAAAGCUCCGGCUAAAUACGUG